UGGGGAAUAUUGCACAAUGGGGGAAACCCUGAUGCAGCGACGCCGCGUGAGCGAAGAAGGCUUUCGAGUCGUAAAGCUCUGUCCUAUGAGAAGAUAAUGACGGUAUCAUAGGAGGAAGCCCUGGCUAAAUACGUGCCAGCAGCCGCGGUAAUACGUAUGGGGCGAGCGUUGUCCGGAAUUAUUGGGCGUAAAGGGUACGUAGGCGGAUAAGCAAGUUAGAAGUGAAAUCCUAUAGCUCAACUAUAGUAAGCUUUUAAAACUGCUCAUCUUGAGGUAUGGAGGGGAAAGUGGAAUUCCUAGUGUAGCGGUGAAAUGCGCAGAUAUUAGGAGGAAUACCGGUGGCGAAGGCGACUUUCUGGACAUAAGCUGACACUGAGGUACGAAAGCGUGGGUAGCAAACAGG
RNAcentral lists this ribosomal RNA (403 nucleotides) under Verrucomicrobiota bacterium. Its description in RNAcentral is "Verrucomicrobia bacterium partial 16S ribosomal RNA". It matches the Rfam family "Bacterial small subunit ribosomal RNA", at positions 355 to 776 of the family's 1533-position model. The record is from RNAcentral. Lineage: Bacteria; Pseudomonadati; Verrucomicrobiota.